RNAcentral lists this ribosomal RNA (1539 nucleotides) under Salmonella enterica subsp. enterica serovar Napoli. Its description in RNAcentral is "bacterial SSU rRNA". It matches the Rfam family "Bacterial small subunit ribosomal RNA". Lineage: Bacteria; Pseudomonadati; Pseudomonadota; Gammaproteobacteria; Enterobacterales; Enterobacteriaceae. The record is from RNAcentral.
UUGAAGAGUUUGAUCAUGGCUCAGAUUGAACGCUGGCGGCAGGCCUAACACAUGCAAGUCGAACGGUAACAGGAAGCAGCUUGCUGCUUUGCUGACGAGUGGCGGACGGGUGAGUAAUGUCUGGGAAACUGCCUGAUGGAGGGGGAUAACUACUGGAAACGGUGGCUAAUACCGCAUAACGUCGCAAGACCAAAGAGGGGGACCUUCGGGCCUCUUGCCAUCAGAUGUGCCCAGAUGGGAUUAGCUUGUUGGUGAGGUAACGGCUCACCAAGGCGACGAUCCCUAGCUGGUCUGAGAGGAUGACCAGCCACACUGGAACUGAGACACGGUCCAGACUCCUACGGGAGGCAGCAGUGGGGAAUAUUGCACAAUGGGCGCAAGCCUGAUGCAGCCAUGCCGCGUGUAUGAAGAAGGCCUUCGGGUUGUAAAGUACUUUCAGCGGGGAGGAAGGUGUUGUGGUUAAUAACCACAGCAAUUGACGUUACCCGCAGAAGAAGCACCGGCUAACUCCGUGCCAGCAGCCGCGGUAAUACGGAGGGUGCAAGCGUUAAUCGGAAUUACUGGGCGUAAAGCGCACGCAGGCGGUCUGUCAAGUCGGAUGUGAAAUCCCCGGGCUCAACCUGGGAACUGCAUUCGAAACUGGCAGGCUUGAGUCUUGUAGAGGGGGGUAGAAUUCCAGGUGUAGCGGUGAAAUGCGUAGAGAUCUGGAGGAAUACCGGUGGCGAAGGCGGCCCCCUGGACAAAGACUGACGCUCAGGUGCGAAAGCGUGGGGAGCAAACAGGAUUAGAUACCCUGGUAGUCCACGCCGUAAACGAUGUCUACUUGGAGGUUGUGCCCUUGAGGCGUGGCUUCCGGAGCUAACGCGUUAAGUAGACCGCCUGGGGAGUACGGCCGCAAGGUUAAAACUCAAAUGAAUUGACGGGGGCCCGCACAAGCGGUGGAGCAUGUGGUUUAAUUCGAUGCAACGCGAAGAACCUUACCUUGGUCUUGACAUCCACAGAACUUUCCAGAGAUGGAUUGGUGCCUUCGGGAACUGUGAGACAGGUGCUGCAUGGCUGUCGUCAGCUCGUGUUGUGAAAUGUUGGGUUAAGUCCCGCAACGAGCGCAACCCUUAUCCUUUGUUGCCAGCGGUCCGGCCGGGAACUCAAAGGAGACUGCCAGUGAUAAACUGGAGGAAGGUGGGGAUGACGUCAAGUCAUCAUGGCCCUUACGACCAGGGCUACACACGUGCUACAAUGGCGCAUACAAAGAGAAGCGACCUCGCGAGAGCAAGCGGACCUCAUAAAGUGCGUCGUAGUCCGGAUUGGAGUCUGCAACUCGACUCCAUGAAGUCGGAAUCGCUAGUAAUCGUGGAUCAGAAUGCCACGGUGAAUACGUUCCCGGGCCUUGUACACACCGCCCGUCACACCAUGGGAGUGGGUUGCAAAAGAAGUAGGUAGCUUAACCUUCGGGAGGGCGCUUACCACUUUGUGAUUCAUGACUGGGGUGAAGUCGUAACAAGGUAACCGUAGGGGAACCUGCGGUUGGAUCACCUCCUU